This 909-nucleotide ribosomal RNA is filed under the name Thysanorea papuana. RNAcentral describes it as "LSU rRNA". It matches the Rfam family "Eukaryotic large subunit ribosomal RNA", at positions 38 to 961 of the family's 3401-position model. The record is from RNAcentral. Lineage: Eukaryota; Fungi; Ascomycota; Eurotiomycetes; Chaetothyriales; Herpotrichiellaceae.
GCAUAUCAAUAAGCGGAGGAAAAGAAACCAACAGGGAUUGCCUCAGUAACGGCGAGUGAAGCGGCAACAGCUCAAAUUUGAAAUCUGGCCUCUUUGGGGUCCGAGUUGUAAUUUGUAGAGGAUGUUUCGGGUACCGCCUCGGUUUAAAUUUCUUGGAACAGAAUGUCAGAGAGGGUGAGAAUCCCGUCUUGGACCGGCGGUAGGGCCCAUGUGAAACUCCUUCGACGAGUCGAGUUGUUUGGGAAUGCAGCUCAAAAUGGGUGGUAAAUUUCAUCUAAAGCUAAAUAUUGGCCAGAGACCGAUAGCGCACAAGUAGAGUGAUCGAAAGAUGAAAAGCACUUUGAAAAGAGAGUUAAACAGUAUGUGAAAUUGUUGAAAGGGAAGCGCUUACAACCAGACUUGAGCGCGGCGGUUCCCCCUUCCUUUUGGUUGGGUUACUCCGUCGUGUCCAGGCCAACAUCGGUUCUGGGGGUCGGUUAAAGGCUUUGGGAAUGUAUCUACCCUUCGGGCGUAGACUUAUAGCCCAGAGUGUCAUGCGGCCUCCCGGGACCGAGGAACGCGCUUCGGCUCGGAUGUUGGCGUAAUGGUUGUCAGCGACCCGUCUUGAAACACGGACCAAGGAGUCUAACAUCUAUGCGAGUGUUUGGGUGUCAAACCCGUAACGCGAAAUGAAAGUGAACGGAGGUAGGAAGCCGCAAGGCUGCACUAUCGACCGAUCCUGAUGUCUUCGGAUGGAUUUGAGUAAGAGCAUAGCUGUUGGGACCCGAAAGAUGGUGAACUAUGCCUGAAUAGGGUGAAGCCAGAGGAAACUCUGGUGGAGGCUCGCAGCGGUUCUGACGUGCAAAUCGAUCGUCAAAUUUAGGUAUAGGGGCGAAAGACUAAUCGAACCAUCUGGUAGCUGGUUCUGCG